RNAcentral lists this long non-coding RNA (973 nucleotides) under Anser brachyrhynchus (Pink-footed goose). RNAcentral describes it as "lncRNA (ENSABRG00000016572.1)". The record is from RNAcentral. Lineage: Eukaryota; Metazoa; Chordata; Aves; Anseriformes; Anatidae.
GGAGACCAAGGAGGUGACGCCACCGAAGAGACGUCACCACCGAGGAGGCCAAAGGUGAGGCCCCCGGGGAGGUGAGGCCAUCAAGGAGGCCACCGAGGAGGUGACACCACCGAGGAGGCCAAGGGGUGAGGCCACCGAGCAGGCCGCCAAGGAGGUGACGCCACCGAGGAGGUCAAGGGGUGAGGCCGCCAGGGAGGCCGCCGAGGAGGUGACGCCACCAAGGAGGCCAAGGGGCGAGGCCACCGGGGAGGCGCCGCCAGCGAGGCCAGGCCGAGGCGGAUUUGGAGGCCGCCGAGGCGAACUGGAGGCCGUUGGAGGGGGGGAGGCCGCGGGGAAGGGAGGCCGCGGGCGCCCCCUAGAUGCGGAAGCUCUCCCCCUUGCCGUCGAUGUGGCGCAGGCGCAGGUAGACGUCGGUGCCCACGCCCUGCAGCGACUGGAGGCACAGCGAGCCCCCCAAGUACUCGGCGUAGGCGCGCGAGGUCGGCAGCCCGAAGCCGAACCUGGAGGCCGGGGAAGAGGGAGAAACGUCGGGCGGGGGGGGAGGGGAAUCGGGGGGAUUUGGGGGCGUCCCCCAGGGGGGUCGGGGUGACCCCGUACCCGUGCAUGGGGCAGGCCUGGGCGCCGUGGCUGAGGUCGAGGAGGUUGCGGAAGGGGCCUCCCAAGCGGGGGUCCUGGGCGCUGGCCUCGGCCGUGCUGAAGUGGUACUCGGUCACCUUGUCCAGGAGGUCGUGGGGGAUGCCCCCGCCCCGGUCCGAGAUCCUAUAUAGGGGACGGGGACGUAAAGGGAAAGGGGGAGGGGGGGGCAGCCUCCGCGGAGGAGGCCCUGAAAGGAUGGGGGCGGCCCGAGAGAGGGGGAAGGUCCUGUGGGGGCGGGGAGCGCCCUAUAGGUGCCGUGGGGGAAGGUCCUAUAGGGACGAGGACACUGUGGGAAUAUCCUAUAGGUGCCAUGGGGGAAGGUCCUAUAGGAACAGCA